This 301-nucleotide ribosomal RNA is filed under the name uncultured bacterium. RNAcentral describes it as "partial 16S ribosomal RNA". It matches the Rfam family "Bacterial small subunit ribosomal RNA", at positions 509 to 807 of the family's 1533-position model. The record is from RNAcentral.
CAGUAGCCGCGGGAAUACGAAGGGGGCUAGCGUUGCUCGGAAUCACUGGGCGUAAAGGGCGCGUAGGCGGCCGAUUAAGUCGGGGGUGAAAGCCUGUGGCUCAACCACAGAAUUGCCUUCGAUACUGGUUGGCUUGAGACCGGAAGAGGACAGCGGAACUGCGAGUGUAGAGGUGAAAUUCGUAGAUAUUCGCAAGAACACCAGUGGCGAAGGCGGCUGUCUGGUCCGGUUCUGACGCUGAGGCGCGAAAGCGUGGGGAGCAAACAGGAUUAGAUACCCCAGUAGUCCCUGUCUCUUAUAC